Molecule: ribosomal RNA, 259 nt
Filed under: uncultured prokaryote
Description: partial 16S ribosomal RNA
Rfam family: Bacterial small subunit ribosomal RNA
Source: RNAcentral
UACGUAGGUGGCAAGCGUUAUCCGGAUUUAUUGGGUUUAAAGGGUGCGCAGGCGGAAGAUUAAGUCGGCGGUGAAAUUUUGCAGCUCAACUGUAAAAGUGCCAUCGAUACUGGUUUUCUUGAGUGUGGAUGAAGUAGGCGGAAUUUGUGGUGUAGCGGUGAAAUGCAUAGAUAUCACGAGGAACUCCGAUUGCGCAGGCAGCUUACUAGGCCAUAACUGACGCUCAGGCACGAAGGCGUGGGGAUCAAACAGGAUUAGA